AUUCUUGCAGGUGUUUUUAACCGUAUUGUCCUAUCUUUUUUCAAUGGAUCAAACACGUAGAUAGCACUUUCAUGGAGACAAAAAAGGAGCAACAUCCAGUGGUCCCUACAAUAAUAAUGACAUAUUACUAAUAGCAAAGAUUAUAAUUUAUAACAAUACAAUUAUUAACAGAAACUUAUUUUAUUCUUACUCUUGGAUGUACGGUGCCAAAAUAUAACGCUUAUUUCUAUUGGCAACCAAAAAAUCUGACAAAUAGUCUAUUGCUUCAUCUUGUCGUUGCUGGUGACAUUUAUGUGGCAUGGCUAAUCUGGAUGGCAACAUGAAUGCAAAUGUAUCAUCCUUCAACUGUUUACACAACGUGCUAACGUACCUGUAAAAAUCACUCAUCACAAUAAACAUGUGUAUUUAACAUGCUUUUAAGUAAAUUAAUUAGAAAAAGGAGACUUGGACUUACUUUAGAAAAUUUUCAAUUAUGGGAGUAUUUAACCAUCUCAUUUUCAAAAACUGAUCAACAUCUUCGGGUGUAAUGUUUAUCGGAUCUUCUCCAUUUUCUUCAAACGUAAAGACAUCACCUUUUUUAUUAGGGAGCCUCUUUUUGAGCAAGAAACUUAAACCUGCACAAUGCUCACUUAAAUUUAUGUCAUCAACAAGUACUUGCCGGUUUUCUUCACGGGAGUCACGGACCCUUUACUUUCAACCUUUUCUGAGUCAUGUACUUUUUCUUUUGGUGUCAUCUUAUGGCUUUUU
RNAcentral lists this long non-coding RNA (747 nucleotides) under Daucus carota (carrot). RNAcentral describes it as "long non-coding RNA (DCAR_LNC007459)". The record is from RNAcentral. Lineage: Eukaryota; Viridiplantae; Streptophyta; Magnoliopsida; Apiales; Apiaceae.